CCCUUAGAUGUCCUGGGCCGCACGCGCGUUACACUGAUGCAUUCAACGAGCUUAUAACCUUGGCCGAGAGGCCCGGGCAAUCUUGUUAACGUGCAUCGUGAUAGGGAUAGAUUAUUGAAAUUAUUAAUCUUGAACGAGGAAUUCCUAGUAAACGCAGAUCAUCAAUCUGCAUUGAUUACGUCCCUGCCCUUUGUACACACCGCCCGUCGCACCUACCGAUUGGAUGGUCCGGUGAAGCCUCGGGAUUGUGGUUCUUGCCGCUUUAUUGUGGCGUGACCGCGAGAACUUGUCUAAACCUUAUCAUCUAGAGGAAGGUGAAGUCGUAACA
This 328-nucleotide ribosomal RNA is filed under the name uncultured eukaryote. RNAcentral describes it as "partial 18S ribosomal RNA". It matches the Rfam family "Eukaryotic small subunit ribosomal RNA", at positions 1470 to 1796 of the family's 1831-position model. The record is from RNAcentral.